CCUACGGGGGGCAGCAGUGAGGAAUAUUGGUCAAUGGACGAGCGUCUGAACCAGCCAAGUAGCGUGAAGGAUGACUGCCCUAUGGGUUGUAAACUUCUUUUAUAAAGGAAUAAAACGAGGCACGUGUGCCUUUUUGCAUGUACUUUAUGAAUAAGGAUCGGCUAACUCCGUGCCAGCCGCCGCGGUAAUACGGAGGAUCCGAGCGUUAUCCGGAUUUAUUGGGUUUAAAGGGAGCGUAGAUGGGUUGUUAAGUCAGUUGUGAAAGUUUGCGGCUCAACCGUAAAAUUGCAGUUGAAACUGGCAGUCUUGAGUACAGUAGAGGUGGGCGGAAUUCGUGGUGUAGCGGUGAAAUGCUUAGAUAUCACGAAGAACUCCGAUUGCGAAGGCAGUUCACUGGACUGCAACUGACACUGAGGCUCGAAAGUGUGGGUAUCAAACAGGAUUAGAUACCCCUGUAGUC
Molecule: ribosomal RNA, 460 nt
Filed under: uncultured bacterium
Lineage: Bacteria
Description: partial 16S ribosomal RNA
Rfam family: Bacterial small subunit ribosomal RNA
Source: RNAcentral